Molecule: unclassified non-coding RNA, 337 nt
Filed under: Hevea brasiliensis (rubber tree)
Lineage: Eukaryota; Viridiplantae; Streptophyta; Magnoliopsida; Malpighiales; Euphorbiaceae
Source: RNAcentral
GGUCCACUCCGGCACGACUGCCGAGGUGGAGACGGUCACGCGAGACGGCGUGCGAUCGACGCCGAUCAAGUGCUGAUCACCACCGGGCGCGCACCCAACAUCGAAGGCCUUGGGCUCCCCGAGCACGGCGUCUCUGUUUUGCCGAAAGGUGCGAUCGUCGUCGACGACCGGACGCGAACGACCAAGGUUGGCAUCUAUGCCGCCGGCGAUGUCACCAGCCGCGACCAGUUCGUGAACAUGGCCGCCUAUAGUGCGAAGCUCGCCGCGAAGAACGCCCUCAAUGGCGAUACCUUGCGCUACGACAACAGCGCCUUGCCCCAUCGUGUUCGCCGACCCG